UUUCAUUCAUCUCUCUCGUUUUUUAAUUUUUUGCUUCAAACAAGGACAACCAUAGGCGAGAGAAAGCGAAAUGAUAGAUAUGAUGUGAGGAGUAGGGAUUUCUAUGCAACAGAUGCAUAUAUGAGCUAAAGUAAGCUCUCCAAUGGAACUAGUGGGGGUGCAUCCAACUUGCUUACUCAUGAAGACCUAGAGCUCAUUUGAGGAAGCUCAUCAUUGGAAUAUGCAAGCCAAGUUCUAUAGUGUAAGGGUCCCCACAUAGUUAUGCAUGAAUGAUAAUAUCUAUGUAGUACAAAUAUAGCAAUGGAGUACGAGUGUGGAUCUUUCAAAAGGAAUAGCAGUGUUGCCCCCUUCUCUCAUUUUUUUAUCUUUUUUUGUGGCCUCUUUGGCUCUUUCGUUUUAUCUCUCAUUUGUCCUCUUUGGGAUCUUUUAAUUUGUCCUCUUUGGGAUCUUUUCCUCACUUAAGGGCAACACUCUAUGUAUUACAAGAAUAAAAAGAAAAAUCAUCACACUUUAUAAGAAGUACUCAAUAUAAAGACAAGUGAAAACUAUCAUGAUGUAUG
RNAcentral lists this long non-coding RNA (560 nucleotides) under Hordeum vulgare. Its description in RNAcentral is "long non-coding RNA (HVUL_LNC012552)". The record is from RNAcentral. Lineage: Eukaryota; Viridiplantae; Streptophyta; Magnoliopsida; Poales; Poaceae.